RNAcentral lists this ribosomal RNA (314 nucleotides) under uncultured bacterium. Its description in RNAcentral is "partial 16S ribosomal RNA". It matches the Rfam family "Bacterial small subunit ribosomal RNA", at positions 499 to 807 of the family's 1533-position model. The record is from RNAcentral.
UUUUAAGAGACAGCAGCCGCCGCGGUAAGACAGAGGAUGCAAGCGUUAUCCGGAAUGAUUGGGCGUAAAGCGUCUGUAGGUGGCUUUUCAAGUCCGCCAUCAAAUCCCAAGGCUCAACCCUGGACAGGCGGUGGAAAAUACCAAGCUGGAGUACGGUAGGGGCAGAGGGAAUUUCCGGUGGAGCGGUGAAAUGCGUUGAGAUUGGAAAGAACACCAACGGUGAAAGCACUCUGCUGGGCCGACACUGACACUGAGAGACGAAAGCUAGGGGAGCAAAUGGGAUUAGAUACCCGCGUAGUCCCUGUCUCUUAUAC